GCAAGUCGAGCGAGAUCUUCGGAUCUAGCGGCGGACGGGUGAGUAACGCGUAGGAAUCUACCUGGUAGUGGGGGACAACAUGGGGAAACCCAUGCUAAUACCGCAUACGCCCUAUGGGGGAAAGCGGGGUACCUUCGGGCCUCGCGCUAUCAGAUGAGCCUGCGUAGGAUUAGCUUGUUGGUGAGGUAAAGGCUCACCAAGGCGACGAUCCUUAGCUGGUCUGAGAGGAUGAUC
This 234-nucleotide ribosomal RNA is filed under the name uncultured bacterium. RNAcentral describes it as "partial 16S ribosomal RNA". It matches the Rfam family "Bacterial small subunit ribosomal RNA", at positions 57 to 305 of the family's 1533-position model. The record is from RNAcentral.